UUCAUUUUUCAGUCUGAGCCUUUUUUCAGUGCUGUAAGAAAGGACGGAGGCUGUUAUCUAUGGCAGAUCUAUCCAAUAAAGGAGAGAAAGGACCGCAUACGCCUGGUUCUCAUCAUAUGCAAUAAAGAGUUUGACCAUCUGCCUCCAAGAAAUGGGGCUGACUUUGCCAUCAUGGAGAUGAAGAAGCUGCUUGAGGAUCUGGGUUACAGUGUGGAUGUAGAAGAGAAUCUGACAGCCAGGAUAACGUGUCCAGGAGAGACAGCACAAGGGGCUCCAUCUUCAUCACACAACUCAUCGCAUGCUUCCAGAGAUAUUCCUGGCGCUGCCACCUAGAGGAAGUAUUUUGGAAGGUUCAGCAAGCAUUUGAAAGUCCGGAGGCAACAGUCCAAAUGCCCACCAUAGAACGAGUGUCCAUGACAAGAUAUUUCUACCUCUUUCCUGGCAAUUGAAAAUGGUUAAGCAUUGAGAGUUGUUGGUGGUGUAUGAAAUAAAUGAAAGUGUGAUAUUGGAGGAAACCACAAGCAGCCCAGCCCUCCUUUAUCAACUUCAAGAAACACCUUUACUAGUACAGAUUGAAUGCUUAACAUUUUGUAUUUCAAUAAAGGUGAAGACAAAUGAA
Homo sapiens (human) is the source of this 619-nucleotide long non-coding RNA. Ensembl annotates it as caspase 4 like, pseudogene. Its record names the gene CASP4LP. The record is from Ensembl. Lineage: Eukaryota; Metazoa; Chordata; Mammalia; Primates; Hominidae.